Molecule: transfer RNA, 76 nt
Filed under: Clostridium sp.
Lineage: Bacteria; Bacillati; Bacillota; Clostridia; Eubacteriales; Clostridiaceae
Description: tRNA-Val
Rfam family: tRNA
About the family: Transfer RNA (tRNA) molecules are approximately 80 nucleotides in length. Their secondary structure includes four short double-helical elements and three loops (D, anti-codon, and T loops).
Source: RNAcentral
GGGCGCUUAGCUCAGCUGGGAGAGCACCUGCCUUACAAGCAGGGGGUCACAGGUUCAAGCCCUGUAGUGCCCACCA